Podarcis lilfordi (Lilford's wall lizard) is the source of this 72-nucleotide non-coding RNA. Lineage: Eukaryota; Metazoa; Chordata; Lepidosauria; Squamata; Lacertidae. The record is from the annotation of a GenBank genome assembly.
GGGAUUGUGGCACAUUGGUAGAUCACAUGCUUUGUAUGCAGGGAGUUCCAGGUUCAAACCCUGGCAUUUCCA